RNAcentral lists this ribosomal RNA (442 nucleotides) under uncultured Pseudomonadota bacterium. RNAcentral's name for it is "bacterial SSU rRNA". It matches the Rfam family "Bacterial small subunit ribosomal RNA", at positions 29 to 505 of the family's 1533-position model. Lineage: Bacteria; Pseudomonadati; Pseudomonadota. The record is from RNAcentral.
AACGAACGCUGGCGGCAGGCCUAACACAUGCAAGUCGAGCGAGAAAAUCACUUCGGUGAUGAGUAGAGCGGCGAACGGGUUAGUAACGCGUGGGAACAUACCUAGUAGUGGAGGAUAACCAUUGGAAACGAUGGCUAAUACUGCAUACGCCCUACGGGGGAAAGAUUUAUUGCUAUUAGAUUGGCCCGCGUUUAAUUAGCUAGUUGGUGAGGUAAUGGCUCACCAAGGCGAUGAUUAAUAGCUGGUUUUAGAGGAUGAUCAGCAACACUGGAACUGAGACACGGUCCAGACUCCUACGGGAGGCAGCAGUGGGGAAUAUUGCACAAUGGAGGAAACUCUGAUGCAGCCAUGCCGCGUGAGUGAAGAAGGCCCUAGGGUUGUAAAACUCUUUCAGAUGUGAGGAUGAUGACGUUAACAUCAGAAGAAGCCCCGGCUAACUUCG